RNAcentral lists this ribosomal RNA (484 nucleotides) under uncultured bacterium. Its description in RNAcentral is "partial 16S ribosomal RNA". It matches the Rfam family "Bacterial small subunit ribosomal RNA", at positions 30 to 507 of the family's 1533-position model. The record is from RNAcentral.
AUUGAACGCUGGCGGCAGGCCUAACACAUGCAAGUCGAGCGGAUGAAGGGAGCUUGCUCCUGGAUUCAGCGGCGGACGGGUGAGUAAUGCCUAGGAAUCUGCCUGGUAGUGGGGGAUAACGUCCGGAAACGGGCGCUAAUACCGCAUACGUCCUGAGGGAGAAAGUGGGGGAUCUUCGGACCUCACGCUAUCAGAUGAGCCUAGUUCGGAUUAGCUAGUUGGUGGGGUAAAGGCCUACCAAGGCGACGAUCCGUAACUGGUCUGAGAGGAUGAUCAGUCACACUGGAACUGAGACACGGUCCAGACUCCUACGGGAGGCAGCAGUGGGGAAUAUUGGACAAUGGGCGAAAGCCUGAUCCAGCCAUGCCGCGUGUGUGAAGAAGGUCUUCGGAUUGUAAAGCACUUUAAGUUGGGAGGAAGGGAAGUAAGUUAAUACCUUGAUGUUUUGACGUUACCAAAAGAAUAAGCACCGGCUAACUUCGUG